GCGGUGGUGUCCCGAAGGCCUCACUGUUUCUGUCGCGUGGCCCGCUCAGCUGGGCUUGGCUGGGCUCAGCUCUCCGCUCCCGCCGUUACCAGGACGACCGUCUCCCCGCAGCCCAGGCUGCCCGGACUGGCGCCAUGAGCUCCCCCGACAAGGUGUCCGUUUGUGGGGCCGGUUUCGACCUGGAGGGUGGCAAAAAGGCUGGCUCCCGCACGGCCAGCCCCGGAGCCCCAGGGGCCCACAGCCACGGCCUCGAUUUGGGGGUGCCGGGCAGCGGCGAUGGCAAGAGCGAGAGCGGGUUCACAGAUCCAGAGGGCUUCAGCUUCGAGUCUGAGAGCGAAUUGAUAGAGCAAGGAAGGGUGGUGCUCUGGGGCCGGGAAGGCCGGCCAGGCACCCCGGUGGAUGACCAAGGGGACGUUGUGGACUACUCAUUCUACCUGGCUGACGAACCAGCCGCCAUCGUGCCGCCGCCCAGCGUCCAGGGACACCCGUUCCCAGAAGGUGCCGCUGCCGAAGGGUCGGCUGAGAAUUGGGCAGAUGCGGAGGUCGGUCCCAGUGGGAGAGACGUGCUGGGCCACAGCCCUGGAAAAUGGCAGCAGGCCUCUGCCGGCCGUCUCCACCUCUGCGGUCCUGGGCCAGUGCGGGCCUGGAAGAACCCGGAAAGGGGCUCGAAGAGCAGAUGGAGCCUCCGCGUGGAUCCCCAGCAGCCCUCUGCGAAAGGCCCCACCAGGCUGCCUACCCACGACUCUGAUUCCGCAGAUGAGAGCAGCGACUUACCACUGAUGAAGGUAGGCAUUUGCCGCAACGAAGGAAGCCAGGCCAAGCCCGGCAGCCCCAAGAAGCGAGCAGACACAUCCAGACAGGCAAGCUUCCACUGCAAGGAGAGUUACCUGCCUGUGCCGGGCCGUUUCCUGACCUCUGCUCCCCGCGGACUCACUCCAGUCGCAGAGAGGCCGGCUGUGGGAGAGCUGGAGGACUCUCCCCAGAAGAAAAUGCAGAGCAGGGCCUGGGGAAAGGUGGAGGUCAGGCCCAGCUGCUCAGGAGCUGCUGCUGCAGGGGCCCUGCCCCAGGGCCUUUCGAGGAGGAAGAUGGCCGGGGGGAAGAAGUCCCUAGGGGGUGCCUCUCAACUGGCCCUGGGGAGAGGCUUUCCUGCCUGCGGAGAGAGACUCUCAGCCGCUCCCCCGGAGCCGGCCACCUUCCCGCCAUUCUCUGGUGUGCGGCCACAGGGGAUGUCCAAGAAACCCCAAAAGCCUAAGCACAGCAGCCCUGGGAAGAAACCAGCAGGGAGGAAGACCAGGGAGUCCCAGGCUGCGGCCAGAGAAGAUAAUGACCCAAAUAGAGAUGAGGUCCCAAGAGCCCAACUUCCCACCCACAGGCCAGGACUGCCUCGCCUGUCUGUGCGUCGUGGAGAAUUCAGCAGUAGCGACCCCAACAUCAGAGCUCCCCAACUUCCGGGAACUUCAGAGCCCUCGGCCUACAGCCCGGGAGGCCUCGUGCCCAGACGCCAUGCACCCUCCGGUAACCAGCAGCCGCCUGUCCAUCCCCCAAGACCGGAAAGGCAGCAGCAGCCCCCGGGAGCCCAGGGCUGUCCUCGGUGCAUCUGGCUGCAGAGGGAAAUUGAGGACCUUACACAGCAGCUAGCGGCCAUGCAGUUCCUCACUGACAAGUUCCAGGACCUUUGAAGUUGGAGCCAGCAUCUUCCUACAAGAUGAACAGCUGCCACCUUUGGAGCUCCGGAGCUGCAGCCAAGCGGGUUCCCUCCAUAUCCUGUUCAGCCAGGGCUUCCUCUCUUCCGCUGCAUUUGCCCCCUUCCCAACGCAGUUCAAAGCAAUUUGAAAUAAAGUCGUUCUCAUA
This 1851-nucleotide long non-coding RNA is filed under the name Homo sapiens (human). RNAcentral describes it as "non-protein coding lnc-CXorf49-2:1". Lineage: Eukaryota; Metazoa; Chordata; Mammalia; Primates; Hominidae. The record is from RNAcentral.